GAGCAAAAAUUUGAAAAAAGGGAGUUCAGAAAAGUAGCAGGAAUCAUCUGAAAUUUGAAGGAAACAUAACAAUUAUUGGAUGUAAACAUUCACAUACCCAAACAUUUAAGAAUAGAGUAAAACUUCGGAGGAAUUAGUUGGAGUUUAAGCUUUGUUCGAGUCUUUCAGUUAGUCCCUCUGCUCGUCUCCUGUCCCAGUUCGCUGCCCUGCCAAAGCUAAAUGACUCUCUGUCUUCUCUUG
This 240-nucleotide unclassified non-coding RNA is filed under the name Hevea brasiliensis (rubber tree). The record is from RNAcentral. Lineage: Eukaryota; Viridiplantae; Streptophyta; Magnoliopsida; Malpighiales; Euphorbiaceae.